Molecule: ribosomal RNA, 490 nt
Filed under: uncultured bacterium
Lineage: Bacteria
Description: partial 16S ribosomal RNA
Rfam family: Bacterial small subunit ribosomal RNA
Source: RNAcentral
AUUGAACGCUGGCGGCAGGCCUAACACAUGCAAGUCGAACGGUAACAGGAAGCAGCUUGCUGCUUUGCUGACGAGUGGCGGACGUGUGAGUAAUGUCUGGGAAACUGCCUGAUGGAGGGGGAUAACUACUGGAAACGGUAGCUAAUACCGCAUAACGUCGCAAGACCAAAGAGGGGGACCUUAGGGCCUCUUGCCAUCGGAUGUGCCCAGAUGGGAUUAGCUAGUAGGUGGGGUAACGGCUCACCUAGGCGACGAUCCCUAGCUGGUCUGAGAGGAUGACCAGCCACACUGGAACUGAGACACGGUCCAGACUCCUACGGGAGGCAGCAGUGGGGAAUAUUGCACAAUGGGCGCAAGCCUGAUGCAGCCAUGCCGCGUGUAUGAAGAAGGCCUUCGGGUUGUAAAGUACUUUCAGCGGGGAGGAAGGGAGUAAAGUUAAUACCUUUGCUCAUUGACGUUACCCGCAGAAGAAGCACCGGCUAACUCCGUG